Molecule: long non-coding RNA, 210 nt
Organism: Ixodes scapularis (black-legged tick)
Lineage: Eukaryota; Metazoa; Arthropoda; Arachnida; Ixodida; Ixodidae
Exons: 3
Source: RefSeq, a predicted model, not a curated record
CUACAACCAACUGUGGAUAAGUGCAAUGGCGUCUUGCAUGGCGCCAUACCUUCCUCCUCUUGCCACUUCAAGAGGCAUCCAAGCGUGGGAGUACGGACUUAUCUUCUCAGCGUUCACCGUCUCAUCCUUGCCAGGAUCGGUGUUGGCUGGAAUAUUGGGUUCGUUAGAGUGCAUCGGUGGAGUCGGAGGAAUCCUUGGCCAAGUUAUUGG